Molecule: microRNA precursor, 108 nt
Filed under: Zea mays
Lineage: Eukaryota; Viridiplantae; Streptophyta; Magnoliopsida; Poales; Poaceae
Description: MIR5565 microRNA precursor family
Rfam family: MIR5565 microRNA precursor family
Source: Rfam by way of RNAcentral
AUUCUAGUAUUGGCCUUAAUCUACAUGUGUUGAGGUGGAUUGAUGUGUAAAUUAGUUUAAGUUAUACCCAAUCCAUCUCAAUACAUGUGGAUUGGGGUCAAUAUUAGA